GGCAAGUCAUUUCACUUCUCUGUGCCUCAGUUCCCUCAUCUGUAAAAUGGAGAUGAAGGCUGUGAGCCCUCCGUGGACAACCUGAUGACCUUGUAUCUACCCCAGUGCUUAGAACAGUGCUUGGCACAUAGUAAGCAUUUAACAAAUACCAACAUUAUUGUCAUUAUUAUUAUUAAGUGGCGGAUCCGGGAUUAGAACCCAUGACCUUCGGACUCCCGGCCCCGUGCUCUUUCCACUGCGCCAUACUUUUCAUUCAUCAAGUUGUAUUUAUUGAGCACUUACUGUGUGCAGAGCACUGUUCUCAUCUGUUGAGAGUAAUGGAUGCCGUGGUGCUUGCCGGAAGUUACACAAAGUUCAUAUUCUGACCUCCAUUUUCCUCUAAUCCGUUGCUGGGGCAGUUGCUCUUCUGGAACAGUGGUGCCGGCAAUGUUGCUAAGAGUACGGUGAGGUUCAUUCAUUCAUUCAGUAGUAUUUAUUGAGUGCUUACUGUGUGCAGAACACUGUACUGCGCUCUUGGAAUGGACAAUUCGGCAACUGAUAGAGACAAUCCAUGCUCAAUGAUGGGCUCACUGUCUAAUCGGGGGAGACAGACGGACAAAAACAAGACAACGUAAUCACGAUAAAUAGAAUCAAGGGGAUGGACACCUCAUUAACAAAAUAAAUAAGGUAAUAAAAGCAGGGGUUAGGCGUCUUAGGAAACAAGAAGAAAGCCUUGAAAUUAAAAAAGAAAAUGAACUUUUUUUGAUGGGUCCACGGGAAGAGGGCUUUAACCCUUAUUUUAAAACUGUGGAAGAAAGAUUGAUUAAAUUGGGUCGAAGACCUAAUUCACAUUGUACUAAUACAUUAUGUGACAGGAUGGGAUCUUUUUUGUUUUCGGGUUUCAGGAUCAAGCAGAACAGCUUUUUAGAAGUGGACAUACAAACAACUGGGCGGUUUUGGUGUGCACAUCCAGAUUCUGGUUUAAUUACCGCCAUGUUGCCAACACUCUGUCUGUUUAUAGAGUGUCAAAAGAUUAGGCAUUCCUGACAGGUAAGAAAAUCUUUUAGAGUGAAAUUAUUAAAUAGCUACACAGCCUUCACUUUUAGGUGGCAUUCAGUUAAAGAUGAGAAGUAUUGGGGAAAAAUAGAGGAAAAAAAGAAUGUUAAUGGUAUUGAAAAGGUCAUUCUAAACCAAACUGAGCUCUGAACUGCUUUCUUCAGUGAACUAUAUAUAACCGUAAUUACAGGAUGGAUUAAGUAUGACUCUGGCAAAUGCCAAUUGUACCAUGGGUUUAUUUCACACUUUAACAAUUCUCCAUUAAGGAAUUCUUUUAUUUUUGUGACUAGUACGUGUAUUUUUAGUGUCUCUUUGAACAGGACCGAUAUUCUUUUAUUUCUCUAAGUGUCUAGAAUGGUGUUCUCUCCACUGGUGCUCAAUAAC
This 1419-nucleotide long non-coding RNA is filed under the name Ornithorhynchus anatinus (platypus). Its description in RNAcentral is "lncRNA (ENSOANG00000043167.1)". The record is from RNAcentral. Lineage: Eukaryota; Metazoa; Chordata; Mammalia; Monotremata; Ornithorhynchidae.